Molecule: ribosomal RNA, 253 nt
Filed under: uncultured prokaryote
Description: partial 16S ribosomal RNA
Rfam family: Bacterial small subunit ribosomal RNA
Source: RNAcentral
UACGAAGGGGGCUAGCGUUGCUCGGAAUUACUGGGCGUAAAGGGAGCGUAGGCGGACAUUUAAGUCAGGGGUGAAAUCCCAGAGCUCAACUCUGGAACUGCCUUUGAUACUGGAUGUCUUGAGUGUGAUAGAGGUAAGUGGAACUCCGAGUGUAGAGGUGAAAUUCGUAGAUAUUCGGAAGAACACCAGUGGCGAAGGCGACUUACUGGAUCAUUACUGACGCUGAGGCUCGAAAGCGUGGGGAGCAAACAGG